Molecule: ribosomal RNA, 465 nt
Filed under: uncultured bacterium
Lineage: Bacteria
Description: bacterial SSU rRNA
Rfam family: Bacterial small subunit ribosomal RNA
Source: RNAcentral
CCUACGGGCGGCAGCAGUGGGGAAUUUUGGACAAUGGGCGCAAGCCUGAUCCAGCAAUGCCGCGUGAGUGAAGAAGGCCUUCGGGUUGUAAAGCUCUUUCAGUUGAAAAGAAAAAGUUCUGGCUAAUAUCUAGAACUCAUGACGGUAUCAACAGAAGAAGCACCGGCUAACUACGUGCCAGCAGCCGCGGUAAUACGUAGGGUGCAAGCGUUAAUCGGAAUUACUGGGCGUAAAGGGUGCGCAGGUGGUUUUAUAAGUCAGAUGUGAAAUCCCCGGGCUUAACCUGGGAAUUGCGUUUGAAACUAUAAGACUAGAGUGUGGCAGAGGGGGGUGGAAUUCCAUGUGUAGCAGUGAAAUGCGUAGAGAUAUGGAAGAACAUCGAUGGCGAAGGCAGCCCCCUGGGUUAACACUGACACUCAGGCACGAAAGCGUGGGGAGCAAACAGGAUUAGAUACCCUGGUAGUC